AUGCUGGGGGAUAGAUGUUUACAUCACUUUCAGUGCUAUAGCUGACUCAUGCACUGUUUCGCAUGGUAAAUAAUAUAUAGGGACUAACUGAAACUGCUAAGGGUGAAACAGCUUUUCCUCAACAGGGAAGACUACCCAGCCACCAAAGUGUCUAAUGGAAACCCAUUACUCCAGUGGUCAGAGAGGCUUUCAGAGACAGGCUUUGAAACUCAGAGAUGCUGAAGUGACUGUGGUCAACCUUUGGUUUGGAGAUAAACAACCUCACAGUCAUGUUGGCCCAGUUUCUGUGGAGGUCAGGCCCAGGCCUGCAGCUCUCAGGCUCCGGAGCCUCCUGAAAGUCUCACUCAGGUGCCAAGAAAGCAAAGAAAGAACAUGCCAAGAUUUUUUUUUUCUUGUACUGUUUAAUUUUUUCCCUUCCUCUCAUUCCUUAAACAGAUUUAAUGGGUGCUGUGUGUCUCAGGUGACUGUAGAAUAUGGUUGAUUUUGAACAAGCACUCUGCUGAAUUGUGACCUACAGUAAUUGUGGUGGGGAGUUGUUUUCUUGGUUUCAAGGUCCUUUAAUUUAAUUUAUUAUCAUAACUGUGAUGCUCAAUUUUUUAAAUGAGAUGGCUCUAGAGUUAGUCAUGGCACAUGUGUAAAUAAAAAUAAU
Monopterus albus (swamp eel) is the source of this 649-nucleotide long non-coding RNA. RefSeq lists it as uncharacterized. The transcript is spliced from 3 exons. Lineage: Eukaryota; Metazoa; Chordata; Actinopteri; Synbranchiformes; Synbranchidae. The record is from RefSeq and is a predicted model, not a curated record.